UUACAAUAUGGCAUUAUUUACAACUCAAUGGUGAUUGACUGAUUGCUUUGAUAGUUGAUUGAGAGCGUAAAGAUUUGGCAAUUGGCAGAAUUAUAGAGCAUGGAAGAGAGCUUAAGAUCAAAUAAUUACUGACCUUGAUGUUGAUGAGUUGAUGGAUCGGAUGGAUUGGAAGCUAGGCAGAGAUGGAAGUGAGUCAAGAGACGGCAGCUAGUUUGGAAGCGAACGGCACAGGGUGAACGGCUGCGGGCUGCGAGCGUCGGCAGUGUGGGAGUGAGUCAGCCGCGAGCGCGAGGUGAACGGCUUUGGGCUGCGAGCGUGUAGAGGGCGUGCUGAGGGCGAGCGUGAAUUAACUACGAAAAGUGAAUUAACUACGAAAAGUGAAUUAACUACGAUGCUGAGUGGGGCCUUCUACGAUGAUAGGCGUGUCGUCUGUCUGAACGCAAUCUUAAACCGUCGGUGAAACGUAAAGCUAAUCGUACGGCUGCGGCACGGGUACCUUCCCAUAUCAGAAAGAUUUUGCAAAUUUGAUGAAGUGGACCGGUCAAAAUAUGGGCCGUGUGGGGCCGACGGCCAUGGUGUUUGCGAUUAGAGCUGGUAAAAUUUGACACGACCCGAUUACCCGACACGAACACGACAUAAAUAAAUGGGUAUGGGUCGUCAAAUUUAACACGAUUAUUAAAUAGGUCGGGUCCAGGUCAACACGAUUUUUUUUC
Molecule: long non-coding RNA, 713 nt
Filed under: Citrus sinensis (sweet orange)
Lineage: Eukaryota; Viridiplantae; Streptophyta; Magnoliopsida; Sapindales; Rutaceae
Description: long non-coding RNA (CSIN_LNC001867)
Source: RNAcentral